This 702-nucleotide ribosomal RNA is filed under the name uncultured bacterium. RNAcentral's name for it is "bacterial SSU rRNA". It matches the Rfam family "Bacterial small subunit ribosomal RNA", at positions 62 to 753 of the family's 1533-position model. The record is from RNAcentral.
UCGAGGGGCACAUAAUGAAGCUUUCGGGCUGAUUUGAUGGCGACCGGCGCACGGGUGCGUAACGCGUAUGCAACCUACCUAUGACAGGGGGAUAACACUGAGAAAUUGGUACUAAUACCCCAUAACACAUCGAGAGGCAUCUCUUGAUGUUGAAAGUUCCGGCGGUUAUAGAUGGGCAUGCGUUGUAUUAGUUAGUUGGUGAGGUAACGGCUCACCAAGACUACGAUACAUAGGGGGACUGAGAGGUUAACCCCCCACACUGGUACUGAGACACGGACCAGACUCCUACGGGAGGCAGCAGUGAGGAAUAUUGGUCAAUGGACGCAAGUCUGAACCAGCCAUGCCGCGUGCAGGAUGACGGCUCUAUGAGUUGUAAACUGCUUUUGUAUGAGGGUAAUAUCACCUACGUGUAGGUGCUUGAAAGUAUCAUACGAAUAAGGAUCGGCUAACUCCGUGCCAGCAGCCGCGGUAAUACGGAGGAUUCGAGCGUUAUCCGGAUUUAUUGGGUUUAAAGGGUGCGUAGGCGGUUUGAUAAGUUAGAGGUUAAAUGUCGGGGCUCAACCCCGUGCCUGCCUCUAAUACUGUUAGACUAGAGAGUAGUUGCUGUGGGCGGAAUGUAUGGUGUAGCGGUGAAAUGCUUAGAUAUCAUACAGAACACCGAUUGCGAAGGCAGCUCACAAAACUAUAUCUGACGUUGAUGCA